Priapulus caudatus is the source of this 830-nucleotide long non-coding RNA. RefSeq lists it as uncharacterized. NCBI's taxonomy places the organism in Eukaryota, Metazoa, Priapulida, Priapulimorpha, Priapulimorphida, Priapulidae. The record is from RefSeq and is a predicted model, not a curated record. The transcript is spliced from 3 exons.
GAAUUUCAUCAUCGAUCAUCGGUUGCACCCAUUUUUUAUAAUACAAUAUAUACUAAAAACUAUGAAACAGUAUUAUACUCACUUAUAUUUGGUGUAAGUUAGAUUUAUUGUCUCCAAGCUGUAAAGUAACCAAAAAACCACACACAAAUAAAAUGAAGAGUCAUUUCAGCAAUGUUUGCCAAUUUUAUUGAGCCGAGCGCUUAGUCUUUUGCUGCACAACGACUGACUUUCGCUUAUAAUUCAUCAUCGGGACAUCACUAAUAUAUAUUUACCUGACUAUCAUUUAAAAAUUACAUAAUAAUGUGCAGUAUUGUGACUGUAUUGUAUUUGGACAAUGUAAUAUAUGAAAUAUUUUGUUUUAAGGAUCAUGCUUACUCAUGUUCGCCAAGAAAAUGGAAAAGAAAGUUGCAUGAAACGGAGGAGAAACUAGACACCAUCACAAAGAAGCUGAAGAACACUGCCCGUCGAGAGAAGAGAUGAAAAGAAACUUGUAGACAUCAGUUGGCAGAGCUGUAUGAAAAAUACCUCAUAAAUAUGGAGUUAAGAUCAAAGCUGGAAUCCUUUGGAGAUAUUCCUUGGAAAUUAUUUAAAAAACCUUCUAAAGAAUACACACACGAUCAAAGGGAUUUUGCCAUCACGUUACACCUGCAAUCUCCCAAGGCGUAUGAGUAUUUGAGGAGUACACUGGAUUUGCCGCUGCCACACCCUAGAACUCUCAGAAAGUGGAUGGAAUGCAUUGAUAAUAAAUAGAGAACAUCGUACUAUACGGCGCUCCCGCAUAAUAGAUGGUCCCUUGUACCAGCGCGCAUGCGCGAUCGGAACCCGAACCA